UUUGUCUACUCUCUUCACCUUAAAUAUAUUGUUUGUUAUUAUAAUAAUCCAGAUGGUAGCACUGUUGAAUAUUUGACCAACUUCAUCAUCAGUCAUCACUAUUCUUAAACAGAAAUGCUCUAGAUGACUCCCCAAAUGUAAUAGAUAAAUAGAUAAAGAAAGCAGUGGGUACAUUCAAAUACAAUUACAAUCAAAAUACAAGAGCAAAUAUAGAAACAUGUUAUAUAAAAUAGAGGUAGUGAAGUAUUAAUUAAUUAAUUAGUAUUAGUUAGUACUGUAGUUAAUUAUUUGUGUGGAAUGGAAUCUGAUUGGCCAAACUGUUCCUUUACCUGCAGUUCUUUGUUGAGCCCACCUGAUGGUGCUACAGCAGCUUUAUAAUGUGCAGGAAUAAAUAGAUUCAGCAGGAGAGGAUCAAUUAUAGUCAUAUUACUUACUAAAUACGUUCAUUUUGCGCAAAUUUUACAAAUAAAAAAAUGUAGUUGUUUGAGAAUUAAAUGUUUUUAAUUUCGUGACUUACAUUUAAGUCUGCUCUGUGACUGAUUAAAACACUCAGGGAAUUAUAAAGUGAAACCUUACAGAGGCGCAUAGAUGAUGUUCUUACAUAUACAGGCCGCGGGAUGACUCGUCACGUUCUAAGAGCAUCUUAUGGGACACAUUUUGAUUUGAUCUGAAGUUCUCCACAGGUUAACAUGGGCUUCAUAUCUGGCCUCUGUGGUCGGACUCCAGCAUGCUGUUUGGACCAGGCUCCUCCAGGUGAGAUGUGGGCUGACGGGCCGCCAUGUUCACCGAGUGGACCAGAACGUUCCACGGUUGCCAUGGUUCGUCUCCAGGUGCAUCAUUGGGUCCGGACCAAAACAUUUGCAAGACUCCGAAAUAUUUUCAAAACAUUUCCACUGCAGAUUGUGUUCGCAUCUCAACCCUUGUUCAAGACCCAGUGUCACUGACAAGAGGACUUUGUCAAGAAAAAAACAGUCAUCAACAGAGAGCAGAGAAAGCCCUGCAGACAGACGCUUGUCCUCCAGAAAAGAUGGCGCAGCGUACGGUGAGGAAGGUUAUCCUCAUCGAGGCCCUGCCCAUCAGACCACAGGACGUCCGCCUCAGGGUCCCAGCACCAGCCUCCCGCAGCAGCUGCCCAAAAAGGUCAGAUCGCUUCUCUCGUAGCUCUGCUUCUGGCGCUACCGUUCGCUCCUCCUCUCGCCCUACCUUGGGCUCUUCAUCAAGCUCUUCCUCUCGCCCUUCUUUGACCACCUCCUCUCGCCCUUUUUCAAACUCCUCUCACCCUUUUUCUAACUCCUCUCACCAUUCUUCUAACUCCUCCUCUCACCCUUCUCUUAGCUCCUCCUCUCGUCCUACCUUGGGCUCUUCAUCAAGCUCUUCCUCUCGCCCUUGUUCUUACUCCUCCUCUCGCCCUACCUCGGGCCCUUCAACCACCUCCUCUCACCCUUCUCUUAGCUCCUCCUCUCGUCCUACCUUGGGCCCUUCUUCAAACUCUUCCUCUCCAUCAUUUUCUUCCCUGCGUGGCACUUCUGCCCCUUUGGUGUCCAGUGUUCAUGCCCGGAUCACUUCACGAAAGCGGCAGAAGGCGUUCACUUCUAUCUGGCCUAUACCUAAGGGGCCGUGUAGGCCUCAGCCUCCAUGGAGCGGCCCUAAGCCAAAGUUAGUCCAGAACCAGCAGCUGUGGAGCGGCCCUGAACCGGAGUGGGUGAGGAAUGUAAGGCUGGACAUGGAGGCGAGGGAUCAAUAUUUUAACAGGUGGUUCAAGAGGAGCGCAGAACCUGAAGGUGAGCCUGUUGGUGAGCCUCCAGGUAAGCGCCUCUGUCCCUUGAAUUCAAUUUCAAUUCAGUUUAUUUCUCUCAUUCAAUUGAACUAAAAUCAAUGAGAGUUUUAUUUGACUCAAUUGAAUUGAAUUAGUUCCAAUGGGCUGAACCACUUUUUAAAAUUUCUUUGUCAAGGUUCAAGGGAAGGUUCACCCCUUUACAGGGUGUGAGGAUACAAGGAAAGCAAUUGAUUUGAAUUUAUUUGAGUUGCCUUGUAUUUAAUUCCUUUGAAUCUGUUUAAAUUGAUAGCUACAAAGUAAGAAACGAAGGGGAAACGAGGAAAGCAGUUUAUUUGAAUUUGAGUUGCCUUAUUUUCACCUUCUUUGAAUCAGUUUUAUUUGAAUCAAUAGCUGCAAUGUAAGAUGCGAAGGAGAAACAAGGAAAGCACUUUCUUUGCAUUUAUUUGAGUUGCCUUGUUUUCACCUUCUUUGAAUCAGAUUUAUUUGAAGCAACCAACUUUUAUGUAUUUGAGUUGAGCUGCCUUGUGUUGCGUUCUUUCGCGUUGUGGGAUUGAAGGACCACAUUUGUAAGAAUGUGUCCUUGAAGAAGAACAACAAAAAGAAGAAAAAGAAGAAGAAAAGAAGACGAUGAAGACGAACAAGAAAUGAGAAGAAACAAAAGAAGUAGAGAAGAGACAGGACAGAAAGUCACAGUCAAAGAAGAGAAGAAGAAGAGAAGAGGGGAGAAACAGGACAAACCAGAAGAAACACAAGAAGAGAUGAAGAGAGGGACAGAUGGGAAAUUAACAAUUCAAAGAAAUAGAAUAAAAAAAAAAUGUGUGAUUGGGAAUUAGACUCCGUCAGGAAGAGAAGAAGCGCGAUGAUAUAUGAAGAGAGAAGAAAAGAAGAAAGAACAGGGAGCGUGAAUCUUCUCAUGUAAAAGGUAAUUAUUACAUGUUCAUAUCAGAUUUCAUGCAGUAUUUAAUUAUGACUCUGUACGUGAUAUGUAAACAACCAUCAUUGUCUUUCAUCUGUCUUCUAGAAAGGAAAGGAGAGACUGAGAGGACGGGGAGGGACGGUGGGCAAUAUCAAGUGUGAACCCCCAUACAAAAGAUAUCUUUGUCUUCUAGAGGAGAGCAGAGGAAAGGCAGUCGAGAAGAGAUGAGACGGGAUGGAAAAAGGCCAUAAAAAGCUGGAUCAAACGUCAGAAGCUGCCAGAAGUCAAACUCAUCUCACCACAAUGACUUUUGACACAAUCAAACAGUAAACAUGUGUUUCCAAUAAAAAGUCAAAACGUGA
This is an RNA transcript of Acanthopagrus latus (yellowfin seabream), 3055 nucleotides long. It is a transcript of the gene named putative protein TPRXL, with no coding region annotated. The record is from RefSeq and is a predicted model, not a curated record. NCBI's taxonomy places the organism in Eukaryota, Metazoa, Chordata, Actinopteri, Spariformes, Sparidae. The transcript has 5 exons.